Long non-coding RNA from Vespa velutina, 3415 nucleotides. RefSeq lists it as uncharacterized. The record is from RefSeq and is a predicted model, not a curated record. Lineage: Eukaryota; Metazoa; Arthropoda; Insecta; Hymenoptera; Vespidae. The transcript is spliced from 3 exons.
GUUCGUUCGUUCGUUCGUUCGUUCGUUCGUUCGUUCGUUCGUUCGUUCGUUCGUUCGUUCGUUCGUUCGUUCGUUCGUUCGUUCGUUCGUUCGUUGCUCACCUAUUCGCGUACGAUCGUUUAUCACUCGACGUACUAGAGCGCUCGAAGGAUAGUACGUAGUAAGGAAUAAGAGCGAUGCCGCGUGUCACGCGAUUCUCUCGUCGCAGGGCCGUCAACUUCUCUCAACGUUUAGCCGAUCGGCAACUAACUGGCACGGAAUCAACGAGACGGGUUCGAGUUAUAUGAAGCGAGAUGAGACGACGCAGGAUAAGGCACGAAGACGUUCGAGCUUCAAAGUAUCCAUGAAGGACCUGUGCUCAUGUCCGGUAGUUCAACGACCCUAGCAUCUCAAGGCCGAACCAUACACUCAUCUGAAUACGACGGACCACGAUGAAUCCUUCGCAAAAAACCAGUUCGCCCAACUCGAAGGAAGCUUAUCAACGCGUUUUACCGUGUUACAGUAUAAACAAAAUUUAUAGUCAUAAUUUGUUGCUUAUUUCUGUGCGUUCGAGACUGUCAUAAGGUAGAAUACUGAUAGAAAGAGAAAGUGGAUUUAAAAAGAAAAAAAAAAAAACAAAAAAAAAGACAAACAAGAAAUAUGUCGAGUAAAAUAACUUCUCCGUCCACCGGUUUGCUCUCUUCGAAAUUCUUUCCAAACAUUCUCCGAACACCAUCACUAGAAACGCCCAUGCGACUAGACUCGCUGCAUGCUAUAGUUCGUAAGGAGGAAGUAACAAAUCGAUUCGUACGCGUAACAGGUGACUCACGAUCUCUUGGAAAAGAGAAAGAAGUAAAACGAGAAAUCAACAAUAAGCGUAUCGAUAAGAGCUAUCAUAGUGUCUUGUGCACUGUAUGCUGCGACCGUUGAAGCGUAACAAUGAAAUGACGACGACUAGUCACUUUCCAUGAACCCAACAAACGAAUUUAUCGAGUCUUUCGAUAUAUUGGUAAGACGAAAAAUUAUGACUAUCGAUAUAAAGCUUAAAUUCCGCAACGUGGCGAAGCGUGUAAGAAAAAAAUGGAUAUUCUCCAUCUCUCUCUCUCUCUCUCUCUCUCUCUCUCUCUCUCUCUCUUUCUCUUUCUCUUCAAUUCCAUCUUUAUGUCGAUCGUUACGAAACAUUGUCUCUCGUUUACCGCUUUUCUAAAUAAAAAAGAAAAAGAAAAAAAAAAGAAAUAAAAACAAAAAAUAAAAUAAAAAUAAAAAAGUAAGAAAUCUGAGAUAGUAAAAUAAUAAAUAAUAUGAUUUGACAGAGGAUAAUAAAAAUGAAAGUGUCUCAACCAUGAUCCAAGGACCUGUAAACGAGUAUAAACUAGUCUACGUGCACAAGCCGUUAACUCCAAUUGUACGAUGACAAGAUAUAGCUACUUGUCUCGGACCGAAAAUCCUAAAAUCCAUCUCGAUGUUCGAUUAUGAAUCCGUAUAAUGUAUAUUGUCUCGAAAAGUUGUUGCUUGUCUUGAUAAGAACGCUCGUAUAAAGAAAGAUAAUUUCUUGUAUAUCGUAAAUGCCACCUCAAGAAAAAUCGUCGGUGUUUGUUCUCAACGACGACGAUUACAACGACUACAACGUUUACGAUGACUACGACGACUACGACGACGACGACGACGACGACGACGACGACGACUAGGACGACGACGAUGACGUUGAAGACGACGAAGCAGGUAAGUAAGCCAUAGAAAAUAAAUAUCGUGGUCGAAUAAUGUACAACUGUAAUGUGUACCUACGCUACACGUGUAAAUGUAAAUAAGUUUUGUAAGAGUAAGAAAGAGAAGGAGGGUAAGUCGUAUGUGCAAGAAAAUUCUCUCGCUCUUACUCUUUUUAUCCAUCUCUUUCUUUCUUUCUUUCUUUCUUUUCCGUGAUGAUGCAAAAGAAAAGAAAAAGAAAAAGAAAAAAGAAAAACAAAGAAAAAAGAGAAGGAACGCAAGCAACACGAAACGAACGUCGAUAAAUUAUAUGGUCAUGGGUUAUCGAACGUACAGAGAUUAUGCAGAUGGACGGUUCGAUAAGAAGAGAAGUUCUCCCUUUCUUUCUUUUUUCAUUGUCUCUCUUUAUUCGAAACUUCCUUUUUUCUUCCUUUUUUAAUUAUUUUUCAUUUUUUACAAGUAAAAAGAGACGGAGAGAGAGAGAGAGAGAGAGAGAAAGAGAGAAGGUAUAAGGAGACUACGUAUACUUCUUUUGAUGAUUAUUAUCGUAGGCUACGUCAUGUAUCACGUCAUAGUACACGCUGGAAUAUAUUCGUUGGAAAGAGAUCGUGAAAGGCUUCCUUAGAAAAUUUUUUUUCUUUCUCUCGUCGACGUAGAGGACUCGUCCUUGUAUCAGUCGGUGCUUCUUCGUCCUCCUCGUCAUUGUCGUCAUCGUCAUCGUCUUCGUCGUCGUCGUCGUCGUCGUCGUCGUCGUUGUCGUCGUCGUCGUCGUCGUCGUCGUCGUCGUCGUCGUCGUCGUAGCUCUACGAACAUUAUCGACGUCGUGGAAUAAAAGCAGAAGGAAGAGUAGCAGUAGUAGGAAAAGUAGUGGUAGUAGUGGUAGUAGUAAUAGUAGUAGUAGUAAUAAUAAUAGAUAGUAAUAAUAGUAGUAGUAGUAGUAGUAAAAUAAGAAAAAGAAGAGAGGACUCGCGGGCUAUUUGCUACUCGCCGCCGAGAGAAAGCUUCAUAAAUUUUACGAAGGAACGACGUAUUCCCUCGUGCAAAAGGCCUUAUGUCAUCUGGUCUUUCUUUGGAUUGUGUGGGAGGACGUGCUCGCGCGCGCGAGUUGGAUGCCUCUGGAAAGUAAGAGUCAAGAGAAAUCCCAAGGUAGAUAUCCAGAGAAACAGAGAGAGAGAGAGAGAGAGAGAGAGAGAGAGAGAGAGAGAGAGAGAGAGAGAGAGAGAGAGAGAAAGAGAGAAAGAGAGAAAGAGAGAGAGAGAGAAGCAGAGAAAGAGAGACUCUCGCGAUGUGCCGGACCGGUCCUUCGCGUUUCUUCCUUUCGUUCUUCUCUCAUCCUCCCUUGUUCUUUCCUUUUGUCGUGUACUACUAGGACGCACGACGAAUGGAAAUCCAACGGUGACGGGUGAAAGGAUCGAGCUUUGUUUACGGAAAUAUUCUUUACUUAUUACAAAGACGAUGCGUUCUCACGAUGCACCUCUUCUCUUUUCUCGAUGGAAGACCGAAGACGAAAUUUACGAAUAUACCGAUCCACGUUACUUUUAAACUCCCGAAUGAUUCCUUAGAAAACAUAAGAAAAUAUAUAUGCUCGCUCGAGUUAUUAAUAGUAUCAAUGUUUUUCUAUUAUCAUCCAAGAUUAUAGAUUAGAAAACGAUAUUUUUACCGCGAAAUUUUAUGUUUAUUACAUUCGAUAAAGUUAACGCAUUUCAAUUUGUCCUUCGUUACUUUUCAUCAA